Molecule: ribosomal RNA, 449 nt
Filed under: uncultured Defluviitoga sp.
Lineage: Bacteria; Thermotogati; Thermotogota; Thermotogae; Petrotogales; Petrotogaceae
Description: bacterial SSU rRNA
Rfam family: Bacterial small subunit ribosomal RNA
Source: RNAcentral
CCUAGGGAGGCAGCAGUAGGGAAUAUUGCGCAAUGGACGGAAGUCUGACGCAGCGACGCCGCGUGAGCGAUGAAGGCCUUCGGGUUGUAAAGCUCUGUCCUUGGGGAAGAAGGUCUUCGGACUUGACGGUACCCAAGAAGAAAGCCCCGGCUAACUACGUGCCAGCAGCCGCGGUAAUACGUAGGGGGCGAGCGUUGUCCGGAAUUACUGGGCGUAAAGGGGGCGUAGGCGGUAAAAGAAGUCAUCUGUGAAAACCUAUUGCUCAACGAUAGGCUAGCGGAUGAAACUGAAUUACUUGAGGGCACCAGAGGUAGACGGAAUUACCCGAGUAGGGGUGAAAUCCGCAGAUACGGGUAGGAACGCCGGUGGAGAAGUCGGUCUACUGGGGUGCACCAGACGCUGAGGCCCGAAAGCUAGGGGAGCAAACCGGAUUAGAUACCCUGGUAGUC